AUUCCCCUAGUAACGGCGAGUGAAGCGGGACCAGCUCAAAUUUGAAAUCUGGCCCUCGGGUCCGAGUUGUAAUUUGCAGAGGAUGCUUUUGGCGCGGUGCCUUCCGAGUUCCCUGGAACGGGACGCCUUAGAGGGUGAGAGCCCCGUACGGUUGGCCACCAAGCCUGUGUAAAGCUCCUUCGACGAGUCGAGUAGUUUGGGAAUGCUGCUCAAAACGGGAGGUAUAUUUCUUCUAAAGCUAAAUACUGGCCAGAGACCGAUAGCGCACAAGUAGAGUGAUCGAAAGAUGAAAAGCACUUUGAAAAGAGGGUUAAAUAGCACGUGAAAUUGUUGAAAGGGAAGGGUUUAUGACCAGACUUUUUCUAGGGGGAUCAUCCGGUGUUCUCACCGGUGCACUUCCCCUAGUUGAGGCCAGCAUCGGUUUCUGCCGGGGGAUAAAAGCUUCGGGAAUGUGGCUCCUUCGGGAGUGUUAUAGCCCGUUGUAUAAUACCCUGGCGGGGACCGAGGUUCGCGCAUUCGCAAGGAUGCUGGCGUAAUGGUUAUUAACCACCCGUCUUGAAACACGGACCAAGGAGUCGAACAUUUGUGCGAGUGUUUGGGUGUUAAACCCUCACGCGUAAUGAAAGUGAACGGAGGUGAGAGCCUUUAGGGGUGCAUCAUCGACCGAUCCUGAUGUCUUCGGAUGGAUUUGAGUAGGAGCAUCACUGUUAGGACCCGAAAGA
Molecule: ribosomal RNA, 722 nt
Filed under: Apiospora tintinnabula
Lineage: Eukaryota; Fungi; Ascomycota; Sordariomycetes; Amphisphaeriales; Apiosporaceae
Description: eukaryotic LSU rRNA
Rfam family: Eukaryotic large subunit ribosomal RNA
Source: RNAcentral